GACGAACGCUGGCGGCGUGCUUAACACAUGCAAGUCGAACGGAAAGGCCUGCUUUCCCUUGUGGAUUGCGGGUACUCGAGUGGCGAACGGGUGAGUAACACGUGAGUGAUCUGCCCCCAACUUGGGUAUAAGCCUGGGAAACUGGGUCUAAUUCCCGAUAGGACUGCAGGGUGGUGCCUGUGGUGGAAAACGAUUUUCUAGUGGUUGGGGAUGAGCUCGCGGCCUAUCAGCUUGUUGGUGGGGUAAUGGCCUACCAAGGCGGCGACGGGUAGCCGGCCUGGGAGGGUGGACGGCCACAUUGGGACUGAGAUACGGCCAGACUCCUACGGGAGGCAGCAGUGGGGAAUAUUGCACAAUGGGCGGAAGCCUGAUGCAGCGACGCCGCGUGGGGGAUGACGGCCUUCGGGUGGUAAACUCCUUUCGACCGCGAGGAAGCCACCUGGUUGGAAGGGUGGUGACGGUAGUGGUAGAAGAAGCACCGGCUAACUACGUG
This 493-nucleotide ribosomal RNA is filed under the name uncultured bacterium. RNAcentral describes it as "partial 16S ribosomal RNA". It matches the Rfam family "Bacterial small subunit ribosomal RNA", at positions 28 to 507 of the family's 1533-position model. The record is from RNAcentral.